Molecule: long non-coding RNA, 636 nt
Filed under: Rattus norvegicus (Norway rat)
Lineage: Eukaryota; Metazoa; Chordata; Mammalia; Rodentia; Muridae
Description: long non-coding RNA NONRATT012504
Source: RNAcentral
AAGCCAGUGAGCUGAGUUUUCCACAAAACUUCUAACAGUAUGAGGUCUCAUUGAUAGUUCGUGUAUCAAGUCACGCGUCUGAAAUUUGGGUUCAGAAAAUUUGUAAAUUGCCACAAAUGUUUUCCCAGUCAAGAUGAAACACUUUCAAAAGAAAGUAGUUAGAACUUUACAUAACAAAAUGUGGUGCUUUAUUAUUAUUGUUGUUGUCGUUGUUAUGAUUAUUAUUAUUAUUAUUAUUAUUAUUAUUAUGUCUAACAGUGUUCGUCAUUAAAACUGCAAUACUGUACCAUAAAUGUGCGAUGACUAUUCCAGCCAUCACAAAGUCCAAAAGAGAAAGUAUUAUUUUCCUGUUAAUGACAUGUAGUCCCUUUGUUCUAGUAGAUAAAAGGUGCCUAGAGGUAGUAUAUAGAGUAAAUAUUGUUCCAUUAGUCUAUUUCCUGCAGCUUCCAUUACCUAAGGAAAUGUCCAUAAGGUUUUGUUUACAAGUCUUUGUUCUAGUCAAUAACAGGAGACGUCUUGUUACUGGGCUGAUUUUGCUUACAUCUACAAAAGAAAUGUCACAUGAUACUCAAGACCUCGCUUUCUCUUACAAUCGUACAUCUUCAAGGAAUGUCAAUAAACUCACUUUGGUAUGGC